Molecule: long non-coding RNA, 33531 nt
Filed under: Citrus sinensis (sweet orange)
Lineage: Eukaryota; Viridiplantae; Streptophyta; Magnoliopsida; Sapindales; Rutaceae
Description: long non-coding RNA (CSIN_LNC004857)
Source: RNAcentral
AACCUGAUCGGAUUGAAAUUUACAAACCCGAUCGGGUUGUGAUCGGUUCGGGUCAAACCCGACCCGAUCCGAAUACCCCAUCGGGUUCCCAAAAAAAAAAUUUUGAUUUCUGGCAUGUGUCUGUACUCCUUAUUGAGCAUAUUUCCCUCUCCAUUCUCCAACAGCAAUCGAAUCACACCAAUAACCAAUCCAAAAAGUUAGCAGCCAUUCUGUCAAAAUUCUUCUCAGAGACAUUUUAAAUUUUAAUAAAGAAAAUAAAGUUGCCUUAGAUGGCAUUUUGCAAGUGCAAUGAUGACUGAAGCAAUCCUCACCCUUUUCUGUUUUUGUCCAAUUUAAUCAUUCAAAAGAGAUCUUAUCAUCUACCCAACGCCAAGCAAUUGAUAAAUUUCGAGCAUUUGACAAAUUGUUUAAGAACAGAACAAUUUCUUUUUGGAGGAAAAGAAAAAAAAAAAAGGGGAGAGACCGAGAGAGAAUGAGAAAGAAACAAAGAAAGAAGUCACGGGAAACAAAUUUGAAUUUGUCAUGCUGCUGCACAGCACACACACAGAACACUAGAACAGAAGUCACAAGCUGCCAGCCACUGAGCCACACACACAUAGUCACAUACGCUGCUGCACACAUAGAACUAUAGAAGCCACAAGUUGCACACUGCACAGCACACACAAGUCACAAGCUGCACAGCACACACACUGACACUGUGACACACACGCUGCAAGUGAACAGCACACACAAGUCACAAACUGCACAGCACACACACUGACACUAUGACACACACGCUGCAAGUGCACAACACACACACACACACACACUAUAAGUGCACAACACACACACACGCUGCACUCAACAAUUCACUCGCAAAGACGCAAACCUAACACACACACACGCUGCCUGUCAGCCACAACUUCACAAAUCACAAACACAAACACAAACAACUAAUGAUAUUAAAAAAUUGCAUGAUAUUAAAUUAUAGUAAAAUUUGGAUAGAGAAUCAUAGUCCUUAGUGGAAAUUAAAGCGAUGCCCUCUAGGCUUCAAACGUGUUGCAAUAGUCUAAGCCGAUUGUUCCUCUCACACACUAUUUACUUGUUAUAUUUGGACAUGGGCUUUUGUAUGCCUUUCCUUGUUCAAUCGACAAUACCACAAAAAAUUGAAGUUUAUUGCCAAGAAUUAAGUACGUGCCUUUAACUAAAGAUGUCAGACUUCAACCAAUGAGCCUUUGGCCCAAUGAGAGAAUCAUUAUAUUUAUAAUGUUGAGUGCAAGGGUUCGAGCCUCCAUAAGAGUAUUAUAGAGGUUAGUUUCCGUUCUUCUUCAAUUAUCAACUAAUUGAGUGGAGACAGUCUCUCCCUUACGAAAUGUGAGUGGAGUAGGCAUCCUUCGAAUAUUAGAGAGGGAAUAAGAAUUUAUGUAUAACAGAUAGGGGUGGGCAAAAUCGGGUUCGGGUCGGGUUCGGGUCAACCCGAUCGGGUUUCGGGUUGUUCGGGUUAGACAAAAACCAACCCGAACAUAACCCGAAUUAUUGACCCGACCCGAACUAUGUUCGGGUCAGUUCGGGUCGGGUCAAUAAUUCGGGUUAUGUUCGGGUUGGUUUUUGUCUAACCCGAACAACCCGAAACCCGAUCGGGUUGACCCGAACCCGACCCGAACCCGAUUUUGCCCACCCCUAUCUGUUAUACAUAAAUUCUUAUUCCCUCUCUAAUAUUCGAAGGAUGCCUACUCCACUCACAUUUCGUAAGGGAGAGACUGUCUCCACUCAAUUAGUUGAUAAUUGAAGAAGAACGGAAACUAACCUCUAUAAUACUCUUAUGGAGGCUCGAACCCUUGCACUCAACAUUAUAAAUAUAAUGAUUCUCUCAUUGGGCCAAAGGCUCAUUGGUUGAAGUCUGACAUCUUUAGUUAAAGGCACGUACUUAAUUCUUGGCAAUAAACUUCAAUUUUUUGUGGUAUUGUCGAUUGAACAAGGAAAGGCAUACAAAAGCCCAUGUCCAAAUAUAACAAGUAAAUAGUGUGUGAGAGGAACAAUCGGCUUAGACUAUUGCAACACGUUUGAAGCCUAGAGGGCAUCGCUUUAAUUUCCACUAAGGACUAUGAUUCUCUAUCCAAAUUUUACUAUAAUUUAAUAUCAUGCAAUUUUUUAAUAUCAUGCAAUUUUUUUUUUUUUUGAAAUUGAUUAAGCAUCAGGUUACUGAAUUACAUAUAGAUAUUUACAAAUGACAACAUAUUAUUGUACUGAUAUUUACAAUCAGAUAUAUAUAUAUAUACAUUUUUAUUCUAUGAAGUACAAGCUCAGCCAAAUACCCUUCAAGGGAAAGGGAUGUCUCUAUUUCACUCGCAUUUCGCAAGGGAGAAAGACGUUAUAAGCAAUCUCCACACAAUUAUAAUUAAUUGAGGGAGUUUGAAUCCUUGAGGACUCGAACCAUUGCCCUCAUAGUCAUGCUUGACUUUAAGGACAAUGGUUCACCACCAGGCCAAAACCCCAAAUGACUAAUAUCAUGCAAUUGAAAUAAUAUUACUACCGACUAUAAAUAGCGUUCAUGCUAUUGAAUCUUCACAUCACUUCACACCUUCACUUCUUUGCUUUCAAUUAAAAUGGCCAAGCACAUUUUGGUAAUGAGUUUACUGGCCAUAACUCCUUGUACGUGCUCAUCUUGCAGCUGCUUUUGAGCCUAGUCCUCAUCGGCCAGGGUUAAUGGCUAUGCCUGCGUGGACCCAAAACUCGCUCAGGCUAACCAUUUUUCAUUCAGCGGACUGCAUGUAGCAGGCAACACAUCAAAACCACCUGGCUCUAGGGUAACACCAGUCGCAGCGGCACAAUUACCUGGACUUAACACUCUUGGCAUUUCGUUUGGUUCGUAUUGAUUACGCACCAUGGGGAGUGGUUCCUCCUCAUGUUCACCCUCGUGCCACCGAGACUCUAACGAUCAUCGAAGGAAGCCUUGAGGUCGGGUUCGUAACAUCAAAUCCAGACAACAGGCUCUCAUCACGAAGGUCCUUCGAAAGGGUGAUGCGUUCGUUUUCCCUGUUGGACUUGUUCACUUUCAACGCAAGGUGAUCGUGGAAAUGUCUUUUCAAUCUCUGGUUUAAGCAGCCAGAAUCCUAGAGUCAUCGCUAUAGCUAAUGCCGUUUUGGGAUCUAGUUCUGCCAUUGCCGAUGAAUUGUCAAGGCCUUUCAGGUUGACAAGUCUGUUGUUGGUCAACCUCAAGCAAUAUUUUAGAUUAUGCAUCUUAAAUUGAUUCCCUGUAAACGAGAUUUGAAAAAUCUGUGUGCAUCGUAUGUGUUGCAUUUUUACUCAUGAUAGAUAUCUUAGGAGUACUAUUUGUCACCCAAAGAAAAGAAGAAUAAAAAUACGUAAGAAGAAAGAAUAUCACUCCAUAUUACAAAGGUCUAAUUACAUAUACAUUGAUACAAGUACUAACAGACAAUUUUAUUUUAUUUCGCAAAACACACUCUAUUCAGAAUAGUGCUAUACCUUCUAUUCUUAAAUUCUUAAAUCUGCCUAACUGAAAAAAUUAGCUAGGAUUCAAAAGCAAAGACAACGCCUACUUAAAAUAUUUCUAUUUAUACAGCAAUAAUCACAGAGUGAAUUAACAUGACAAGAAUUUAAAUCACACCCAGUUGUUUUUAAGUGCAAAAUCAUGGAAUCUAAAAGAUACCUCCCCAGCUGUGUCGCGCUCAAGCUUGCGCUCUCUAUUGUUUCUUAUUUCAUUGUCAUUUGGAACUUCAGCUGGCAGAGGUUGUAUCUGAUUCUCAUUAGGUUGACGUGCCAAUCGAACUUCAGAGGGUAAUGGCAUUGUAGGCAGGGAGGCAGCCCUUAAUCGAGUGCUGCUCCCGCUUGUUGAAGCCAGUGCUUGGUCCCAUAAGAACACAUGUAAGAGAAUAGGAACUUUGGCAUGCCGGUGCAAUGAGAGCUUCUGGCUGAGAGAAACUGUGUCGAAACAUCUAACUGCUCCUGUUGAGGAAACUAUCCAUGGAAGAACUUUUUGGUUUGACACUCUGGAGACUACCAGCAGCUUAGAAGCACUUACUGCUUCUUUGUAAAGAAUGCUGAGCCCUGACCUUGUAGAAGGUAUAUUUUCGUCAUCAUCAAUAACCGUGGAAAUGUAGAUAAAUCCCUGUCAACGAACAAGAAUGGUAAACAAAAACCUUCAAAAUGAUUAAUAAAGUGCAGUGAGAAAUUGGAGAAUCAAAUAGCGUACCUCUUCAGUGCGACUAAUGGCAAACCCAAGCUUGGAAUCACCUUCCUUUAGUUUGAUCUCAAUUGCUAACUCUCCCCCAACUGGAGCAUACCAAAGCCGAACAGCUCUAACGACACCGAGGUCAACGCCAUGAUAAUCCUCAAAGCCAUACAGACUGGCAUUUGCAACAUUAGACAAGUCAGAUAAUGACCCCGAAUUAACAGUGGAGGAGGCUGUCUCUCCAGAGAUCUGUUCCAGACAAAAAGAAGUUUGAAAAUAUAAAUUUCACUUGUUCCUCAUGUAGAUUUCGUAGGCUAAAUAGUUACUCUCAGAUGCAAAUGGUCAGAAAUAAGAAGAGAACACUUGGAAAAAAUAUAUGUUUGGACAUCAAUGCCAUGUAAGCACAAUGGAGACACUCCUCUUCUGAAUAUAAAUUUUCUAAAUUAGCAUUAAAAGCAGUUUUAGAGAAGUUGAGUACAUCUGACAAUCUACAAGGACCCAAUCAAACAAGUUCAAUAGCUGAGCAGCCUGAGCUUCGUGGAGGCUACGGAAUUUACCUUGGUAAGCAGGGACUCUGUCUGGAUGUUCAUGAAAACAAUCGGAACCCCAGUGGCCUGAGACGCAUUGAGCCAGGCAUUUGCCCGGGCAAGAGUGUCUUCCACAUCAUUGUAGCGAGAAGCCACUACAUCCGAAGCUUUUGGAAGGAGAAGCAUAGAAAGAAAGCAGCUUGAAUUGGGAACAGAUAGAACCUCCUGCUUCCUCCUUUCCCAAGGAUACGAGACAUAUCCUUCUUGAAGCCUAGCCCUAGCUAAUGCACUUACAAUCCUGGAGCUCCUUGAAGCUGAAGAUUACAAUUCUUUAUUUCACAUUGAAGCUUUGAAGAUAAAACACAAAGCAUAAAAUAUCUUGAUUCUAGCAGAAUCAAUCAGUAAAUAAACUGCUCACUGAAUAUUUAUAAAACUCUUGAAAGCCAUAAUGAUUAACAUAAAACAAACUGAAACAAAAUAUCAUGUAAAACAAAUCUCGAUAUCUUAACCUAUACAAAUUUCUAAAGAAACACAAACCAAUUUAAAAUUUUGAUCUGCUCUCCAGGUUACCACUUUGUGCAACUAUACAAAAUGCAAAAGAGAUUCACCUUACGAGAAAACAAUUCUAGAAGUAACUGCAUCACAUGAUGAUACAAAGGUUUUUAACAGUGAUUUUUAUUUAAAAUUUUAAACUCAGAGAGAGGAAAAGCUAUUAUGGUUGCACUCUUGGCUCUUGGGAUAGACACGGACAAUAAAAUACAGAUGAACGGAUGAUUUUACAACAUAUCUUCAAGCAAACCAUUGCAUCUUAUUACAUCCAUAUUAGUUUUUCCAUUAUUCAAUAAUAUGAUUGGUAUUGAUAAGUAGAAGCCGUGUCGCUGUAGAUAAAUAGGCAAAAGAAUCGGCCAUAUUUUUCACUAAAGAUGGCAUGUUCACACUACAGGUAAUACUAUGCUACCAUCUGAGUAAAUGUAGUUUUUGGUUUACUAAUUAGCAUAACGUUAUAAAUUAUUAAAAGAUGUCACUUUCAAAUUCAUAUUUCUAUUAGAAAAUGAGACAUUUUGCUGUCUUGAAAUACCUUUCUCCUAGACUUUUGCGGCUUAGUCUUCUAGAAACAUGUUCUAGGAAACCCUAGAUCUUGCUGUCCAAAUUUCUACCCCAUGUGUGAAAAGCCAAAGCCGCAAUUCAUGUCAGUUGACAUGUUGGAAAUUAGGUUAACUGAGUACCAUUAAUGUCUCAUCAACUAAGCCAUCAUUCAUGCCAAAUUCUAGAAAGGAAACACAUGAUAUCACGUAGACCGCCGUAGGUCAAGAUGCAAAGCAUUCAAGUGAAGAAAACAAAAUUCAUGAACCAGGUUAUGAUAAUGAUUGAAAACUUUUUGUAAUGGACCGCAAAGUUUUCACCACACUUCUUAAAUCUUUCUUCAUUUCUAAUUAAGUAAAUACAAAAAAUAAAAAUAAUAAUAUUUGUGAUGAUUAUAACAUUAAAAUGUCAUUAUACUCUUCAUGAAUAUCGAUUUUUUCUACAAAGGAAGCUCUAAAAAUAUCAAAGUCAAGAUCAUGCUAAUUGCCCAGUGAUGGUGGAAACAUGGUACAUUCAAUGCCCAUGUCAUAAAGCACUUCUCCAAGCCGUGAUACUAUUAUUUCAAAAGUUCCAUCAUUAAUAUGCGUGACUUGUCAAUAAGGUCUGCAAGCCUCACAUACCGAGGAAUCAUGUGCAAUUGAAAGAGACAAAUCAUCUUUAUACACAUAUAUAUUAUAACAGGAAAAUUGAGUAAACUAUAUAAAAAUUAAAUUGGAUAAAAUUAAUCACUUUCAUAAGAAUUGACGAAGCAGAAUUGUAAAGAUAGAGAAAACAAGUCUCCGAAUAAAAAAUUUAUUGAAUAAUUGAGUUUGAAAAGUCCCUCAAAUAAUGACAAUGUCUCUCUAUAUAAAAUAGAGAAAACUUACUCCCCUAAGUUAACUUAAAAAUGAAAAACUAAAUCUUAAAAUUCCUAAAAGAAAAGAUACUUUACUAAGUUAACUCGAUCUCAUACAUUAAUUGACCUUAAUAAAAAUAAAAAAAUUUAAAAUAAUAAAAUACCAUAAUUGACUCUAAUUAAAAUAAAAAAUCCUAAAAUAAUAGAAUCCUAGAAUCUUAAAAUUUCCAAAAUUACUCCCUACAUCAAGAAUUUUUGGAAAUUAAUAGAAAUAGCCUGCAAAUAAAGCAUGUUUACAAAAAUAGCCCACCAACUAUUUUUCAAACUUUAGGAGUUAAAAAUAAGCAUUUUGAAUGCAAAGACCCCCAAGUAAUCUAUUGCUUUGGGUGGGCAGUGACGUGUCGACAGCUCAUUGGUUAAGCGCUCAACCAGGCUAAUGUGAUAAAUUACUUUAAAUUAUUUAGAUGGAAAAUGUAAACAACAACAAUAAGUUCUCUCAAACAUGUUAUGAUUUUAGGUUAUUUUCGUAAAUAUUCCUAAGAAUUUUAAAGAAAUUAACAACGAAAAAAUAGUAAACACCAAUGGGAUUGAUAUUCGCACGUGUACUUGAAAAAAAAAACAUACUCGAAAAAGUAAUGGAAUCGAAAAGUUAAAGAGUCAUGGAAAAGUCAAAAAACGAACAAAACGCGGUCACAAGCACUGAAACACGACAGAAGCAAAUGAGCAAAACGGACUCACCUAGCAACUCGAGGCAGUCGGCCUCGGUCCGAUCAGUGAACCCGGCGGCGUAAUUCGGAUCCGUAAUGGACCUCAGCAUGUAACAGUUCCUCCUCCCGCCCGACUCCGGCACGAUGCACGCCUGCAGCUCGGCGAACUCUUCGGCGCCUCGCCUCACCCGGACCAGAAUCGACGUCUCCUUGUUCUUGAACGAGCCGUGCAGAAUCUUCUGAACUCCGCUCCUCCCGUUCUUGAACGGCGCCUUGUACGUCCGACAAGAGCCGGAUCCCGAUCCUAAACCCGAGCCGCCUCCUAUCGUGAAUUCCUCGACGAUGUCGCCCGUCUGGAGCAUGUCGGCCGUCCAUUCGUCGGCUUUUGAGGUGCCCUUGAGGCAGUCGAUUGACAGAACGGUGUAGGAUUUGGGGUCCCGCGUUGGAGAAUCGGAUUGUUGCUGUUGGUUUUUAUCCAUGGAUGAUCGGGUCGGGUCGUAGAUUCAGUGCAUUUGCUAACUGAAUUUUGGCGCAAAGGAUUUGAGAGAGAGAGACGAUAGCGCGAGAGAGAGAGCGAGAUGGCUUUUGAGUUAUUUGUCAGUUGGGGGGUUUUAAUGCAAGAGGCGGCAAGGGGCAACAAGUGGAAGCGAGAUUAAAAAAUUUCGUUUCUGAUUAAUUUUCGAGGAAUUUGCAGAUAUUUAACUUGGAGAAGAAAAUUUGGAAUGUAAGAAAUUAAUAAUCGGGGAGUUUUGACUUUUACAUGGGUUGAUGCUGAUUGGAGGCCUUGGUUGACAAGUUCAAUUCAUGAUUUAAUUACUAAUGUAAAUACAGUACGAACCCAAUAAAAUUAGUGCUCGAUUAAUUGAUAACUUGAUUAAGUAAUAAGUUUUGUUGUCAAGACUUGAUGCUAACGUUUCUAAAUUAUUAUUUGAUCAACUAAUUAUUUUUUUCUUAGUUUGAAGGAUAUUUGUUGAAUUGUGUUUCAUAUUGGUCAGUAAAAAAUAGAUUUUUUAUAUAAAUAAUAAAAAAGAGUUAGUUGGGUUGAUAAAUAAAAUAGGUCUUUCCUUCUAAUAAGUUAGUAUUUUAGGUUGAAUGUUAAGAAAUCCAAGUUAGCCCCCAAAGAUCUAUUUAUAUAGAUAUCAUCAUCUACAUCUAGAAAGUUGUAUGCUUUGAAAGAAGCUUGUUCGGUUUGGGAAGAAGUUUUGAUCAAUCAAAAAGAUGAACCUCCUUCAACUGAUAUGCCACAAAUAGUAUUAGAGUCAAACAUUAAUAACCAAAAAUGUCAUGGUGUAUAAUUCAGGUGUGUCGGUGAUGAAAGGAAUAUGUUUCUUUUGAAGAGAAAAUUGUUGAGUUAUCUCCUAUGUUAAUUAGCAAAACGAAGUUAGAUUCAUAAAUUGUAUAACUCAUUCCACCCAAUACACUUUGAGUUAAAUAACCUCAACCGUAUUAAUAAAACCAAGGUUAUGUUGUAUUGAUAUUUUAAUUUGAUAUUCAUUAAUAAUGUGCAACAAACAAAUGUAUUUUUGGAGUAAUAUUAUAUUACAAGCAGCCGUGGAUUUGUGGAGGUCUUGCUUGGGUAAAUCAAUGAAGAUAUAUUUGAAUUCAAAAUGAGACCGUAAAAGAAAAUUUACUCAAUUCUAUUGACUGAAUUGAACCUUGGAAACGACAUUCUAUCUUAUUUUUUUGGUUAUUUUGAUAAACUGAUAUCUCGAUUAAAUAAUACGAUUUGUUAAUAGAAAUAAAUUACAAUUCAAUAAAUUAAAAUUGUUUUAAUUAAUAACUUUUUCUUCAUCAUACAGUAUUGAUUUAUCAAUUAGAUUUGUAUAUUGCAAGUGUUACUUAAAAAAGAAUUAAGAGUAACACUAAAUCAUGUCCGAGUAUUAAAAGAAUAAAUUUAUGAGUCUGUGAUGCUGUCGUCAAUUAUAUAAAUAAAUAAUUAUUUAUUUUCUAAUGAGCGGCAUCAGAAGUUUCUAUGAUUGGCUGAGGUUGACCGACGAGGAUUGUUGGGUGUGACACGCGCCUUAAGUGAGAGAGAUUAAGCAACAAGAUCGAACCAUUGGCUUGGGAGUGCCGUUUUCAGGCGACGCGUGGGUGACGGUUACUUCUCACCAAACUUUCCCUGCAUUGAAGGAAAUCAUUCGAUAAAUAAAAUAAUGGAAAAUUAACAUCAAUCACAAUUAGAGGUCUUAAUUAAUUAAUUAAUUGAAUAAUAGUCAAAUCCUUUCUAUUCUUCACCAAAGUGGAAAUUCAUUUAGUGAUAGAUGAUUAAUGAAUAAAAAAAAUUAUUAUAUUUUAAAAAGAGAUAUAUUAGUCUUUUUUAAAGUAAAAAUAUAAAUUAAUUAUUUAGCUCAUUAAUUUUUUAAGAUUUAAACUCAAACUAUCGUACAAAAUACUUGUUUGAAAACUAUUUGAUCAGGUCUUUAAGAGUAAUAAGAAAAGAUUGUUGAAUGAAUAUUAUUAAAAGAAUUUGACUAUAUUAGAGUUCACCUACAGUGGAGCACGAAUCUCAACCACACACGCAAAAUAAUAAAUAAUAAAUAAUGAGUUAUAAUGAACUUUUUACUAUUUAUCAUUUUAUGUGUGUAGGCUGAGAUUCGUGCUCUACCGUAGGUGAACUCCAACGUAGCCAUAGUUUUAUUAAAAAUUUUGUUAUUGUAUUAAGUAUUAUGCAUCAAAAUCAUCACAAAUGGUUUGGCAAAAGGGUAAUUUGGUUCUUGCAGCUUGUGGUGCUGUGUUUACCGGACUCUCCCCAAUCUGAAAAACAUAUCAAUGUUGAAUAUUGCUACAAGCUACAAGAUUCAAUUCCAACAUCAACUUUUGGUAUAUCUUUAGUCAAUUCUGAAUCAGUAAAACAAUUCCCAAAUUUAUUUUAUUAUAUGAAGCAAGUGAUAAGACAAUUCAACUAUAUAAGGACAGAAUUAUUUUUAUUAUCUUCCGAGCUUUGACGGGACUCAGUAAUUGGGAAGAAUUUUGACUACAAAGAUUGCCAACAUCAUCAACUUCCAAAACACUAUUCAAUUGAAUUCUGUUUCUACUACCCAAAAAGAGAGAGGGAGAGGGGAAAAAAGAGGGACAGUUGUGGCGGUGCCUAACUGCCCAUUUUGGCUAAUUACACUGCCAUCCCUCUUAUAGUCUUAUUUGCUGCAAGUUGAAAAUAUUAGAGACUUUAAACUUUUAACAUAUAAAUCCUAUAUAUUUCUAUUAUUUAUAUUUGUAUCCUAGACCCCAGUUGAUUAUUAUGAAAUUUUUUAUAUUAUUAUUUCGUCAUGUAUUAAUAUUAUUGAUAAAUUAAUUUUUUUAUUACAUAUUUAAAUUAUUUAUUGUAGAUUAAAUACAUUUUAUACAGAAACAGACAUCAAUUUAUUAUUAUUUUUUUUGAACACCCAACAAUGAGCUACCAAAAACUCACAUUGUUUAGGUCUUGUUUAUGAUUAAAGUACUGUAACUUUUAAUUACAACUGUUGUGGAAAAAAAUUAUAAUUAUAAAAUAAAAAUUAAUAAUAUAUAAUAAAUAUAAUUUUUAAAUAAUAAUUUUAAUAAAAUUAUUAAAGAUAUAAUAUAAUAAAUUUUUCACUAUAGAGAUAUAAAUCAAAUUAAUUUCAUUUCCAUAAUACAAAAGUUGGUAUUUAUUAAGCACUUUAGUACUUUAACUUUUUAAGGUACAGCUACCCAACCUCAAUCCCGAAUAAGGCCCUAGUUAACAAUGGUUAUGAUAUGUACUUGUAAAACUCGCUCCUCAAAUGGUCAAACCAUAUGAGAAUGACCCCAUUUAGGUGAAUCCAAAAGCAAAUUGUGCGGCCCCAAGUCUAAAGCAGAGAAAUUUUUACUAUGUGACAGCAUCAACAGAAGAACAAGCAACCAAAGAUUCAAAAUUGAUCAUUUUGAUUUAUAUGAGGAAGCUGCCUCAAAAUCUAUUACAUAUAAAAUCUGCAGAGCUGGAAAUCUAACAACAAUAAUGAUAUUACAUUCACAGCAGACCGGCUUAAACCUAUUAGUAUGUACCAGCUGCACCAUAACUUUGACAACUUUCCUGCAUUAUCAUUAAAAAACGAAAAUGCAAAAGUAAAUAAAAACGAAGUACAAGCUUCUGUAGACACCAUAUUCACUAAGUAACAAGCUUCUGUAGACACCAUAUUCACUAAGUAACGAUAACUGCAUCAUUUGGAGCCUAUAAUAACAAAAGAACUGGCACAUGUAUGAACUAAUCUUAUGUUCAAAGGUUUCAAAUUCCUGUUAAAAGUAAAAAAUUCUUAAGAUGAAGGCAGAACAUUUAGCAAAGAUUAUGAACUCAAAAAUGAUGAAUACAGAAAUUUAAAAGCAUUCCUUGCAGGGACAAUUUGGUUUGACUUUGAGACAUUUCAAAAAAUUUAAGAGAUAUAGGAGAAUCUGAAGGUUCAAAAAGUCUUUGGUAAAGUUUGCUCAAAAAGAAAAAUCUUGUUUUUGAAGAUUCCAUGCCAUAAAUCAACAGAAACUUAUAAAGAAUUAACAUAUAGAAACUUCUUCCAAUAGAAUCAUAAAGCAGGAAGCAAUCACAAAUACACAAGACUUACUAAGCCCAUCUUUUCGGUGGAGCUGCAUCCUUUGAUGCCGUCAGAGGUUGCCUUCUAGCCUUCUUGAAUUCUCCUCUAACAGGAGACUGCUUCUGCCUCAGAGAAGAAGUUGUUCUAGACUUCUGAUUUGUUGGUGUUUCUCGAAGAGGACUUGACUGAGGCUUUUUGGAUCUGCCCAUUGGCUUCAGCAAAGAACUUGAGACUUUUGGUGAUACUGAUCUCUGUCUACUUGUUGAGGCAAGUUGUCCCCUUCGAAGAGGGAUGUCUUGAAAUUUAGCCAUGGGACUUUGAGGAGGGGAGUCUUGAAAUUUAGCAGCUGAAUCUCGAAGAGGGGUGUCUUGGAAUUUCGCUACUGGAACUACUGGUAGGUCAGUGGCUACUGCUCGGUCGCUGGCUACUAUUUGCUUGAUCGCUACAAGUCGGUUCUUGGAAGGGGAAUCUGAAUCUGAAGAAGAAGGGCUAGUAGUACUGUCCAUAUCAUAAAUAACAUUAUUUACCAUGGUGGGAAGUUGCCAGCAGUUCGAGUCUGAGGCUGAGGUUGAGGCAGAAGAGGAAGAUCUCUGUUGCCUUGUCAACUGCACUACCUGUAUUUGGUGACAUGAUUUUUCUAAGAGCUCAUUAACGAAUUUCAUAACAUUCAAGCUGUAUACAUGAAAGGUUCAUGAAUAGAUGCUAUUUCUUGAAAUAGAAGACUGCAGAAUGAGCUUCUCUUCCUAACACUGAGUUUGACAAUUGAUUUUAUAAGAAUUCACACUAAUAUUCACUCCAGCUUCCAUUUAAUUUCAACUGCUAAUUCCCUUAUCUCGACAAAUGCAUUCAGUAACAUUGAUUUCUCACCUUUUGUUCUAAGACCAACAUGUCCUUCUUAAGUCUUGUGAUUAUAAAGUUCUUUCUAAGUAUGAUGUCUUCCAACUCUGAGAUCCUCUGUUAUCAAUAAAAAGAACUAAGUUAAUCUUGGUCAGAAGAAAAAAUCUAAUAUGAAAUGAAGGGGAUAUAAAUGAAAAACUACCUUUGAACCUCUGACAUUAGUUGACUGAACUAAGGUGGUUAGCUCUUUUAUGGUGGUGUCUUUCUCUUCACACUCCUUCCUUAGAUUGCAGAUAUCUUGUUCUAUUGAAAAGCCGCUCAUCUGCACAAGAAUUUGAAAUCACAAAAAUGAAAAGUUGUUGCAAUGCUUAAGCAUCAUCACAGAAUGGACAAUAAUUUGAUCCUUAAUUGGUACUUGAAUAAUCAUUCAAAAUGGAAACUUGCACAUUUGUACUUCACAAGAUUGAUUCAAUGAAAUUCAAGAACCAAUUUACUAUAAGAUCAAAGUUCAAAUAUUGAUGGAUAUCGACUAAUCUAUCUGAACUUCAAUGAGAAAUCCCAGGUGUAAACAAAGUUUUGGGAUCUUCCAUUACCUGGAAUUCUGCAGCAGAUAUGCCACUUGAUGAUGCCCAGUCUGACAGGUCAGACAUGCGGCGCUCCUCUUGUUCUGACUCAAUUGCAUGAAUCAUUUUAUACGGCAUCAUCUCAUCCCCACUGGAGUUUUUUCCAGCACAACUACCCUGCUACCAAAUUAAUAAGAUAGUGAGAGUAAGUGUCUCAUCUCAGAUAACCUGUGUAUGCAAGGCUAACAUUCUACGGGACAAUGAAGUUAAAAUUUACCGCAAACCCUGAAAGCUGGUUAUGAUGCUGAUCACAGAGCCAACAACCACAAUCAACAAAAUUGAUUUUGUCGCUGCCAAAAGUUUCGCUUUGGGCUGAUUCUGCUUUCCCACUUAAUGACAUGUUGGCUAUGAUUCCUUGCUGGUCCUUAACGUAAUACAACUGUUCACAUAGGCUGUCAAGCUUCUGCUGCAUGCUUGAUAGCACCUGAUCCUGGAAAAGCAUUAGCAAUGGUAAAACAAAUUAAACCGGAUCAUAGCAGCUUCAAUGUGAAAGAUCACUAAGAAUAAUCAAAAUGAAAUGCAAACUAUUUGUUAACGAAUUGUCAUACAAUUCAUCCAAUUAACCGGGUCAAAUAUUGAUACAAAAAUACUUUAUUGAUUGAAAAAUAAUCUUCGCCAGCAAAUCAUAUCAAAUCUAACUAAGUUUAUGCACAGUGAAAUUCAAACGAAUAAACAUUACUUGAUUACAAGUUAAACAGAUAAACAUUCAGGCGAAUUAAAUACAUGGAGUUGCUAAAAGAAAAAUAAUUAUAUAAACAUACAGUUGAAUGUUAUGUACAGGGAAUUUGUGGCAGAAUUUUUUUGAAAAAAAUUUAAAAAAAAAGUCAUCAAUUUUUUUAUUUAAGGCAAUUUAAAAACAAACCCAUUAAAGCAGAAGAGUUAAAAUCACAAACCCUAAACUCCACAGAUUUUGUAAGCUGUGAAAUGAGCCGAUUCUUCUUCGACUCCGCAGCGGCAACGCCUAUAACGGCAACAAUCAGAAACCUCUGAAUGGGAGAGAAGAGCUCCCAAGCCACGGCUUCCUCUCGGCUUAGCCCGCCCUUAACAGCGCGAGCUGAGCUGGCUUUGUCAGCGUUCACAAGCCGGCCUUCUAACGACACCCACGCCAGAUUUCUUCUCGAGACCGGCUCGCUCGGCCUUUUGAAAUUGCUCGAGAGCCGGCGAGGCGAAGGGGAAGGCAUUGAACGGAAUGCAUUGAGAGAGACUAACGCUGGCGGCGGCGGCAUCUGAGCCAUUUGUGCAGCGGAGCGCGAGCCGGGGCCGAAGCCGGGGUCAUUGUCGGCUUCGUGCAUGAGAGGUUUUGAAUUUUUAAAAGAGAGUAGUGAGAACAAAAGGAGGAGCGUGAUUACAGGGACAUUAUUGAAUUGAAAUUGAAUUUUUUAUUUUUUUUUGGGUUUUGGGGAAAUUUUAUUUUGAUCGGUGAGAUUUGAAUUGAAUGAAUAAGCGAGUUACUAUUAUUGUUUGUAUUUAAUUGAAUUCUGUAAAUUUGAAUUUUUUCCAUUCGAGAGGGAAAACGUCGAACUUGAAGCCGCAAGGCACCCGAGUUGAACGUUGAAGGAGCAUCUGGGCUUUUGACACGUGUCCGCUUUCUUUUCAUUUGGCUUUAUUUUUGUUAAUACUUUUUGCUUUUGUAAUCAAAUUUCGAAAUUUGAAAUUAUUUUUUUCCAAAAAAAAUGAUAUGGUAUUGGAGAAUAGUGGAUAGUGUAUUGGAUUAGAUAUGGUAAUUAGUUUUAAACAAAUCUUGUCUAUAUAGAAUAAUUCCACAUCUAUUUGUUGGCAUUAAGUUAACUUCCAAAUAUCAACACUCAACAGAUUUACUUUGAAAUUUUUCAAGAACGUUAACAAAAUUUAUUAACUUUGAAAAUCAACUUUAUAGAAUAAUAUCAUUCUUUUUAAGUUGUAAAUGAUAUUUUAAUUAUAACAAUUUUGUAAAAAAAAAUUAAAUUUAAAAAUCUACUAAUAAAUUCGUCAGAAUUCCUUAAUUAACUCUUGUAAUGGUAUAGCCUAAAGUUUUUACACUUAUAAUAAACCGAAUCUACUUCUAAAUAUUUAAAAAAUAAAUAAACAGUCAUAAUUCACAUCAAGAUAUAAAAUCUGAAAUUAACAACUGUAAAUAAAGGAAAUACUGUAGUUAUCUAAGUGGAAACUUCAUAAUUUUCAUUUUACGAUCUAAGUUGUCAGUUUAGAGCAACGACUCAAAUAUAUAUAUCUUUAAUUUUAUUCUUUUGAAUUAAAUGUAAUUAGACCCUUUUGGGCCCAACAUACAAUAAUUUAUCGAGCAUCUUUAUAAUAUAAGGGUACAAGUAAACUUUAAACUUUUCUUACAAAAUGAUGGGGUAGGCGACAAACGUGCAAUUAGUUGGAACUCAGCACCCACUUAUAUAUUCACACAAAACAUGUUCCUCAUAUUUAUAUAUCCUUAAUUUUGUUAAAAUAUCACUCGAAUUGGACUUAAAGAUGUGUUUGGGUUAACGAUGGACUUGGAUUCCAAUGGUGGCCUGAAGCCUAGUAAACAAAGUAAGAGAAGUUGUGAUAUUUGACCCCUUAGUUACAUCUCACCAGUUCCCACGAAUCAUUUUUAUAUUAAUACUUAUUAUUAUUUUAUGAAAUGACUUUAAAGAGUAAAUAGUUUUUAGGUUCGCCCACAUAAUAAUUCCUAUUAAUAUCUAAUUUAGCUAUUUAAUUUCUUAAACCCUAAUUUAUUUAACUUUUUAAAUGAUUAUCUCUUCUUCAAUAAUGUAUGCUUUAAUUUUAUAAUUAUGGAAGAAAUUAAAUUUUAGUACUAAAUAGAAGAUGAUGAAAAAGUAUCAAAUAUUUUUUAAUGGUUAUAACAACUAUGGAUAAAACCUUUAAAAAAAAAGAGAGAGGUUAUAAUGAUUAUGAGAUUUUUUUUUCUUUUUUUGAAAUAAAUUUUGUAAGUUUUAUAUGGUAGGUACUUAGAAAAAAGAUAAAAAUUAUAAUGAUGCUAAAUUCAUGAUUAGAUGAAACAUGUUGAGAGAUAAAAAUUAUUUUAAAAUUUUUAAUAAAAUUAACUGAAAAGUAAAAACUAAUGAGAUGUAAUAAGAAGGUCAAAUAUCACCGCUCAAGAUAAGAGCCAGACAAACUGGGGCUUUCGUUGCCCCAGCACUGUCGGCCUCUUAUUGCUCUUUUAUUUGCCCCCAUCCAAAGAAGCUUCACGGUUCUAAGAAAGGUACCCACUUAUAGAAAAUAAAAUAAGUAAUAUUUUCUUAUAUCACAGCUAUGCUUUGUCCCACCUCUGCUGAAUUAAUUAAGAGUAAAUUUCAAAAGAUGUUGUAUUACCAUGUGUCAAUUUGUUCACCGAACUAACAUGAGCAAUGUUGGUCACUAAAAAUAACAAAACAGACAGAAACCCUUUUCUUUUUGUUAAGAUUAUAAAAAAAUUCUAAUUAGUAGGCUAAUAAUAUUUAAUAUUAACCGAUAAGAAAUAUAUUUUAUCACUAAGUGAAAAUUAUUUUAGAUUUAUUAAUGGGUUAUUAACUUUUAUUUUUUUGAAUAUAUCAGUUCAGGCUCUAGUAUUCUCCAUCUAAUUAAAUUAAGUACAGGUAAAAUUUCUCUCCCACUAAUAUGCAUAGAGUAGAUAUAAGGGUAAAAAUUCAAAGUUGUGCUGUGAUAAACUUAUCAAAGAUAAUCUUAAUAAAUUUUUUUUAUUACAAAUACAAGUAGAAUCUUAUUUGUAAUUGUAAUAUAUAUGUAUAUCGAUAAAUUAUUUAUCAUCAGUUAAAUAUGGAUGACAUCAUGAAUGACAUGGCAAACACUUCCUACGGAAUUGGGGUCCAAUAAGAAAGUGAUUCAUCUAUUGAGUCUAUCGCUAGCCGUGCCCCACUAGGGCAAGAGCCAAUCUACCCUUUCACCAAAACGUUAAAAACAUUUUUAGAUCAUCUUCAUAUCAUCAUCAUCAAGCUCAUCAAUUCAAUCAAUCCCUUAUCAUUUUCCCUUUCUUUUUUUUUCUUUUUUUUUGGGCACACCUUCCCUUUUCGAAGCAUUUACAUGAAAGUAGGAGUUUACAAUCAAAACGAAACGUGCUACUAUACAUAGAAUUAUCUCAUCUUUGUGGCUAAAAAGAGAGUUAGUGAUCAUACUUGAAGGAUGAGAAAUUAACAAUGACACAAUCCCAUUUUAACUUAUGUUUUUUUUCAUAAAGUAAGGUGAUAAUUGUUCAAUCUCUUCUCCAUUUACUUUAUGGUCCAUUCACUUUAUGCGAACUUCAUAGUUCUUAUAAUGUAUUAUUAUGAGAGAUUUUAUAAGUUGAAUCAACUAAUAUCCAUAUUAAAAAAUGAAAUGUAACAUUCAUGUACUAUCUUAAUAUGAGAAAUAUACUUUAAGAAAAAUAAUAUUAAGAAAAUUUUAGAAAUUUUAAGAUACAUAGUGAAAGAGUUAAGAAAACAUUUUCAAGCAAAUGUUAGAGCAGUCUAAAACCAAAAAGAGCAUGUACAAUAAUAGGAAGUCAAUAGGCCUAAUCUAAAGGUGAGAUCUUUAAUAAUCACAUAACACUUCACAUCCAACUAAGCACUUGAUUGAUCUAGAUGCACCAAUGCGCUUUAGCAUUUACUUUCAUUUAAGGCAAAAAGAAAAAUGACGUGGGGCAAAUUUGGCACUCAAUUUAAGAUCCAAUUUUGGUAACAAAUUCCAUCUUGUGGGGUUUUGUGGAAUUAUCUCUUUCAAAAGGAUAAUAGUUUCAACUAUGUGAUGCACAGAUGGUAGGCCCCCACGUGUCCCCAUGCCCUUUAAUGGGAUAGCAACCCUUGAUAGCAAAGUGCACGGUAGAGCUUAGCCCCCAGCACAUAUCUCGUCUCUCUCGGCAACAUAAAUUAUCUGAUCAUGAUUGAAAAUUAUGCUAAAAGUACUUAUUUAAAACAGCAAUUAAACUAUACAAAAACUAGCUACAUAAAUUAGCUUCUAGCAGCAUAUUUUUUCUCUCUUUUCUGUUCUUUUUUAAUUUUUCUCCACACCCCACAGCAUAGUAUAUAAUAGAAAUAAAUAGCUAGCUCACUAAAUACUAAUCACUACCAUCUUCAUAUUUUUUAGUGCAAAAAAGAACCCACAACCAAGCUUUAUAUCUUCCUUUUCCCAGCUCUUUUUCGCUUCUGUACAUAAUCCCAGGCCUUUUCUUCUAUUGCUGCUCUUGCUUUGCGCAUGUACACUUUGCACGAUUAUCCGAGAGUGCCUUUUUUUUUAUUUAAAAGAAAAAAGAUGUAAUCAGCAUAGUGUUUAAUUUUGGGUUAAGAUAGCAAGAUUGCUUGGCUUGUAAUGUACCUUCACUUGGCAUUGAAGUUCUUUAACGUAAUCAACGGCCAAAUCUAGCAUGUCUGCUGUGUUUGUUUGCUGCAAAUUGUGGGGAAAAAAGAAAAUGGAUAAAAAAAAGUCACAUUAGUUAAGAGUCUCCAUGGACAAAAUUAGAAACACAAAUUAAUGCAAAGAGAAGGAAAUUAUCGUACUUUGUCCAUGUUGGGUACAAGUUCUUGUAGCUUCCUCAUGCGCUCGCUAAUUUUGGUUCUUCUCACCUGAAAUUAAAAUCAAAACCAUAUAGUAAACAUAAUGUAUGAUCAAGACUGCAGCAAGUGAAAUGUAACCAUCAACAUAAGAUUUAUAUAUAUUACCCGUUCGGCAAUGCUUCUGGGAUGGGUCGCACAGCCCCUUUUGGCUCGGAUUUUGCACGGCACUGAAUCUUGAUAGUGAAGCAGCUUUUCAAUUGUAGCUAUAUCUUUCGGCAAACUCAAGUGAUGAGCUAAGAGAGGAGGAGGCCGGGUUCCGAGAUCAAUACUCUGUUGAUGAAACAAGUAGCACUAAAUCAUUACUAUACCGUUGGAUCAAUAUUUGAUGUAACAAUUAGAAUAACUUAAAAGGUGCUUGAUACCUGAGUUUCAGUUGCACUCAACCCAGAAAGAGUCCUAUCAUCUUCUCUAAGUCUAUUAACCUCACUGACAAUAUUUUCCGGCAUCAUUGAAGAAUCAUCCCAAGAAUCCAUAGGAAAGCCUGUUGAAUAAUUGCCGUUAUGGCCUUCUUUGAACCCGGCAUUGCUGGUUUUAUUAUCAACCUCCACAAUAGGACUCAUCGGCUUUGCACCAGUAGGUGGCUUCCCUGAAGAAGCAUAUGAUGUUGAUUCUCUUUUGAUUGUGUUAUUUCCACCACCAUAAUCUCCCAUGCCUUUCAUCAUCACAUAGCCUAUCCCCCACGAGAGAAAAAUAAGUAAAUAAAUUAAAAAUCCCAAAUCAUCAAACAAGAAACUAGUUGAUCUAUUUCAAUAGUUUAUUUAUUUUAUUUAAUUUUUUAUGUCCUAGUUGCUUAUUAAAAAUUUCAUUGGAAAUUCAAAAAACUACAAAAUUAAAUCUACAAAUUACAUUAAUUGGUUUGUAGAGAUGAUGAGGAAAAAGAGUGAAACAUUUAUUAUCUAAAAACAUAGCCUUAAAAAGAAACUUUCCAAAAUUUUCUAUUUCUUUAUAUAAAUUGUUUCCAAGAAACCAAACAAACUCAACGGAGUGUGUUGUGAAAAAAAAAAAACAAAAAAACACAUACCAUUUUCAAUAGUGAUGUUACUGAAAAGUCCAGCAGGUGAGCUGCUAUGGCGAAUAAGAUUUGAAUUAUUACCACCAGGACCUGCACCAGCACCACUCAUCUUCAUCGGCUGAGUUGAAAAUCGAUCCAUGCCAACAUUUUGACUCUGAAAAUUCUGUUGCUGCAACUGAGGCUGAGGAGGCUGAGUUUGGUAAUAGCUCUGCUGCUGCUGCUGUUGUUGUUGCUGUUGCUGUUGCUGUUGCUGCAAUUGCAUAAGCUGUUGCUGUUGCUGUUGUUGAUCAGAUUGAAUUAUCUUUUGUUCAGGGAUGAUGCUGUUGCUCGUGUUUUCAGUGUUGUCAGUGUUGCCAGCAGAAUUUGACAAGAAUCUUGCAAAGAUUCGCUCUGUCUCGGGACUCGAAGGCCUCAUGAGGAAAUCUUCAAAGGCAUCUUUGUCAAGAAAGCUUGAGAAAUACGAACUCGGAGCUGAUUGGUAACGUGUCAAGCCUGAGUUUAGCUGCUUCUGAUGGUGCUGAAUUUGAUGAUCGUGAAGAAAAUGAUGGCGAUGUUGUUGAAGAUCUGACUCCAUUUUCACCUUGCUUCUUCUUGUUAUUAAUAAUAAUAAUGCUCAAAAAAGUUGAUUUUUUUUUUAAACCCUUUCCGUUUUUCUUUGGUUGUUUCAAUAUCAGAUCAAACUUGAAGCUUCUUCUUCAUUGGGAUCUAAUUUCUGAAAAAUUGGAACAACUUUUGGUCAGAAAACAAGCUUUAAAAAACAGAGGAAACAGAAAAACAGAGGAAACGGAGAGCAUAAAAGUCAAAUUUUCGAUCAGAGGAAGGGGAUGGACAUCAAAUCUGAAAGCAACCCAGUUUCAUAUUCUUGAAUCUGAAUCACUCAAAGAAAAAUGAUAACCAAAAACAAGCAAUGAACAGUGACCACUAAAAAAGGGGUGGAUAUGUUAUAUCACAAAACAGAGGAAACAAAAAUAAUAAAAAAAAAAAACACAAAAACACCCUCACAACAACAACGAUAAACUCACUUAGUAAAUCACUCUCUCUCUGCUACUGCUGAAUUGAUUGAGCAAAAAGCUGAAAGUGUUUUUGUUGUUGGCAGUGAGAAAGUGAAAUCUUCAGGGAGCGAAAAAAAAAGAAAGAAAUGGAAAAUGAAGUCAAAAUAUAGUUUUUUUAAUAUAAUUUUAUUUUUAUGAUGAUGAUGAUUGAUGAGUUUCAGGAGGUGGGAAAUAACAAGGACCAGAAAUAUAAAUAUAGUGGGGGUUUUUUUUUUUUAUUUUGGUUUAUUUAUCUAAUUUUCUUUUGGACAUAAAUACCCUUCGUGUUUUCUUUAUUUAUGACAUAUAAGUGGCAUAAUGAAAGAGCCUAAAUGGCUAGCAAUGUGUACACGUCACUGUACAUACGUACAGGAGUGAAAUUACGUCUGAAAUGGAAGAAAAAGGACAAUUUCUAGUUCUUUCUUUAGAACUGGGCUAAAGCUAACGAUUUGAUUAUUGGAGCCCUCCAUGCGUGCAAAUGACGAUGUUGUCCUUGUUAAAAACUAAUAAUUGUUCUGAGAAAGAUUUGUUUGAUCUUUUUUUUCCUCCAAGAAAAUCACGUUUUCUUGAUCGAACAUUAGAGCCAUAGGAAAUCAUGGUCCCAAUUUUAAAAGUUUAUAUUUUAUUAUCAAAGUUUUGACGUAAUAAAAUAAAAAUAACAUGAAAAUAAAAUAAUUUACCUCAAAUAUAUAUUCAUCUGAUUUUGGUGCUCAAGUGUUCGUAUUUUAAAAAGUAGUUCAGAUGGAGUUAAAAUAUAUAUAAAAAUAAAUAAAGAAUACAAUAUAUUGUUUAUUUGUCUUUCAAUAACAUUUUAAAAUUUAUGUUUUUAUUUUUUAAUUCUAUCCACAUGAGUGCGACACCUGCACUGAUUCACGGCUCAUCGUCUCAUAUUAUUGAAAGAAAGAUUUUUGGCUUGAAUUUUUUUUUUUUACUUUUAUUUAAUAGUAUAAGUUAUAUUUAUUUCCCUUCACUUUCUUUCAAACCAAGGAAAAUUAGUCUCCCACAGCAUAAUAAUAGCAGAAACUUACACGUACCACCGCCUUUGAAUUUUAGAACCAUUUAGCCAUAAUUGAAGGUUUAAAUCGUCUUUUUCACAAGCAACAAAAUUGGUUGGAGAAAUGCACCAGUGCGGCCUUUCAACGUGCAAAGCGAUAAAUAUUUUAAUAAAAUCCUCCAUCAGUUCGGGAAAAAUAGGACAAAAAUCAAUAAUUUUCUAAUGCGGCUACCAAUUCAUUAAUUAUUUUCACAUUUAAAUAAUAUAAGUGCUAGGUUUGAUGAGAAUUAAAUUAUUAACUCCUUUUACCACGUAGCCGCACACCAUUGGUGCCACGUGUGGAUACAGAAAACAAAAUACAAACUUUCAAUUAUUAUUAAUUUUUUAAUUUUAGGUUGAUAAAUGUGUCAAACUUCGGCGCUGCAAGGACAUUACUGGCCCUGUUAAAUUAUUAUGUUUGUGGGUAAUCAAGGAUAAAUUUGUCUUAAACGUAAUUUUUUUAUAAUAAAUUUGUCAGUAAUAUAUACUGCCAAAGUCAUAUGAAUAUAUAAUAUGCAUAGAUAAAAACUCUGUAUUUUUUCCACUACCAUUGUUUUUGUGCAAAUUUAUAAUUUAAUCAUGCCAUGAUUCAUGAAUUUCAAUAAAGAAAUAUUAGUUGUAAGAUCUAAUACUUGGAUUGGUUGCGACAGUUUCUAUGCUUUAUUUUUUAUUCUUUUUUUGUAAUAUUAUAUGAAUUACGUAUUCUUAAUAAGCAUCUUACGCAAAGUCAUCAAAGUCUGUGGGUGAUUAAUAUUUUUAUUAUUUUUGACAGCGUAAAUAUUUGUUUGGUCUUUACCUUUUGAUUUAAUUAUUUAUUUAACCUGCAUAUGUUAAAAAAAAAUGCAUCAAAACGUUGUUGCAGUUAAACAUAUUUUUACUGCAUUUGAUUGAAUCACUGGUGAACCAAGAUGUAAUGGACUAAUAGGACAUGUGUUUUGAUAAUAAGAUAUGAUUUGAUCGAUUGAUAAUUAACCAUCAUAUUUUGAUUGCCUUUCAAAAGAAAAAGAAAAAGAAAUCAUCAUUGAUGUUUCCUUUAACAAAUAUUGGAAACGUGGCAUUUGUUUUUUUUUUUUUAAAUUUGAAUAGACCUAAAUUAGUCUGAAUUAUAGAUAGAGUUGAAUAUCUGAAUUUGAAUGACAUGUUUGUUUUUUUAUUUGAAUAGUUAAAAAUAAAUAUUAAGUCGUUUGCUUUUUUCACUUAAAAAAUCUGAAAACUAAUAUAUUUUACAUUUAUGCCCUUAUAAAUUAUAAUGUUAAACAAAUAAUAAACAUCUCAAAGAAUAUAAAUAAGUUAAUAAAUUAUCAUAAUAUAAAUCAUAUUCAAUUGAGUAUAACUCUUUAAUAUUUUAUAUCAUAUAUGUUAAUCAAUUUUAUUAUAUUUUGUGAUGUUUUUAUAUGAAAAGUAUUCAUAAAAAAUUAUAAAGAUAAAUAAUGCUAUUUUGAACAAAAUAAAAAGAUAAAAAUAAUAAUAGUCUACCACUAUGUAUUAUCACAAAUUAUAUACAAAUGGGUAAUAAUGCUAAUUAUUAAAAUUUAUUUAGCUAAGGAUAUAGAUUAAUUAAUUAAAUAGGGAUUUUUUUAAAAAAAUAUAUAUCUUUUAAUGAUAGCAUUCAAACUUUUUAGAUUAAGUAAAAAGCUAAAAAAAAAUUAGCUCAAUAACUUAAUUGCUGAAAAUCUUCAUUAAACUGAAAAAACAAACAAAUUUGAUGACUUAACUGAUUAAAAUUAAGUCAAUUAAGUCAUUAAGUCAAAAAAAAAAAAAACAGCCCUAUACUCAAUUAAUGUAAAAAUCAUAUGAACUUACCCAUAAAUAAAUGAAAUACAAGUAAAUUAUACUAUUCUUAAACCCUAAUCUUGAUGAAUCCAAAUAGUUUUUAUCACCAAUGCUUCUUCUUGUUUUUUUUUUUCCUUCAUAAAUUUUAUAAUUGUAAAGUAUCUUUUUUUAAUAACAUUCUCUGUCUAUUUUAUUAUUACUAUAUUUUAGUGAAUGGCUGGCAUAUUUUUAAGUUUAAUUUUUUUUUACAUUGGAUGCUAAAACACGUGUCAAGUCACCGUAAAUUUGAUGAAAGCUAACUGAUCAAAUCACUAUUAUAUCUACCAUUUCUUUUUUCCUCUUUUUCACCCCCUCCAAAUCAAACAACUAUAUCUGCUUUGUAACCUAUUAGAAUCUGAAAACGUGGAUAGAGAUUACAUUUAGUCGUCGUUUACUUGUUUAAGAUAUCAUUUCAGGUGAUCCAACGCCUAAGUGAGAAAGCACUUUUGAGUGGAAGACAAGCACUAUUGAAUCGAUUGAUUUGUAACUUGUUAAAAAUAUUAGUAGUGGAAUAUUUAAUAGAUAAUGUUUUCUAUUAUGUAAAGGGUUUAUGCUCAUCUUUAACGUGAUAUUGUGCCAAUUUUUAUGACAAGUAUAAAUUUUAUCACGACCGCAAUUAAAAAAAAAUACAAUAAUGCUACAUAUCUCAAAUUUUUUAUCCCAAAAAAUUAUCUCAAAUGAUGUGUCAUUAAUUGAGUGGUUGAUAAUUCUUUACAAGAUUCAAGUGAAUUAAUUAUAUUAUCUCACCAAUCAAUUGAUAAAUGACACAUCAUUUAGGAUAACUUUUUGGGAUAAAAAAUUUAGAACGUGUAGCAUUACUUAAAAAAAUAAUGGGGCCUUGAUUCAUGCCACAAAAGAUGUUAGUUUCGCUAAGUUUAAAUGCAUGUGACACCCCACUUUAAUAUAAAGUCCUAAUCAAAGUUAGGUUACCUUGUCAGAACAAGAAUAUCAAUUUUUUUUUUUACAUACUAACAUUAAUUAUUAACUAUUUAUUGAGAUAUUACUUGAACUAAAACUACUUUUAUAAAGUAAUUUAUAUUUAUAAUAAGUAUCAUUUGAUCUUAUAUUUAAAAAUUAAUUUCUUUAUGCAUUGAAGAGACUCGAACUCAUUUUGGGAGUGAGGCACUAAUUAGCUAAUGGAUGUCUAGAUGUUCGCUUGAUCUUUGUUAGAUAACAAAUUUCAAUGAUAUUCAACAUUUUAACGUUUUGUACUUGUCAUUAGUUAAUGCUACAUAUUAAUAAUGUUAUAGAUAGGUUAAAUGUCUCAUUUUAUACUAUUAUUUUAGUAACCUCAAUAUUUACACCUUAGAAUUUAUCGUUUAAAAUGGAGUUACCAUAAUUGUCAGGAUAAUUAAAGUUAAUUAGCGUCACUUUUUAGCUAAUGAUUGAUUAUGUUUACGGUGCCUAGUCUUGCCAAAUGUCCAAAUUAGUGUAAAUUUAGAAUAUUUUUUUCUAGCUCUUUUUUCCUUUUAGUGUACGCGUGGGUACAAUGGCCUGAAACAAUGAAAUCUUUACUUUAUUUACUACCAAGAUACGAGGAUUUUGUAAAUAAUCUGAAUAAGAAGAUUUUGUUGGCACCAAAAGCAACGACAAUAUUCCUUGUAGUGCAUGCUUUUAGCAUUUCUUAAUUAUACAACAAUUGGGCAUGUAACUUCUAAGCACUUGGGUUCAAAUGCUGUCACAUAUAAUAUAAUAGGAUUAAAUACUUUUUUUUUCAAGUAAAAAUAAAAAUAGAAAUAGAAAUGAAAGUUUAGAAAGACCUUUUAAGCAAUUAUUAUUUUAUAUAGUGUUAAAGAUGGUUUUGUUCUUUUUAAGAUUCACGACUGAAUUUUAAAGUUAGAAUUCAAAUUUUUUAAGUCUAAUUUACGAAAGAAUAAAUUUAUCGUUCAUUUAUAGUAACAUAUAUAUGGUGCUCAGUUUGAUCAAGAUUGAUAGACCCUAAUAGCAAUAAUUUUCUAAUAAACUUGCUCAUUUCUUUUUUUUUUUUGAAAAAAAUAAUAAUUGAAACUACUCAUUNNNNNNNNNNNNNNNNNNNNNNNNNNNNNNNNNNNNNNNNNNNNNNNNNNNNNNNNNNNNNNNNNNNNNNNNNNNNNNNNNNNNNNNNNNNNNNNNNNNNNNNNNNNNNNNNNNNNNNNNNNNNNNNNNNNNNNNNNNNNNNNNNNNNNNNNNNNNNNNNNNNNNNNNNNNNNNNNNNNNNNNNNNNNNNNNNNNNNNNNNNNNNNNNNNNNNNNNNNNNNNNNNNNNNNNNNNNNNNNNNNNNNNNNNNNNNNNNNNNNNNNAAAAAAAUCAAAUAAGAAAGUAAAUCAAUAAUCACAACAAUAUAAUCAAAAUAAUUCUAAUAAUUGCUCAUUUGAUUUUUGGGUAUUACAUAAAUAAUACAUUUUAAAACUUUUAUGGAUUUUAAGUUCUUUCCGAAAAACAAGGACCCAACUAAAAAAUGCCCUCAUUUUAAUUUGAAACACCUACUGACAAAUGCAAACAUUUAAAUAUAUAUAUAUAUAUAUAUAUAUAUAUUGCCUCUCGUUGGUGCAUUCGCAACAAGGCAUUUGAAAUUGUGAAUUGCUUGCACGUAAUUAAAAAGAAAUGAAAUUUCUUAUUUUCACGAAUAUUUUUAAUUAUUUAUACCCAAAAGGGGGGGGGGGAAAUAAAGAAUAUUGGUCUACAAGGACAUGUUGGUAAUUGCAGGAACAUUUUAUUAAAUUCGGAUAAUCAGAUAUCGGAUCCUGUCGGCUUAGGACCCCACGUGAAAAAUUGUCAACACCCAACAUUUAUAACCCGAACCGGAUAUGACGGGUCAAGCAUUUUAUAAUUAUGACUUAAACCGAACUUGAUUAAAUUUUAAACAAACCUUAUUUGAAAGUUUGACAAAAUUAUAAUACUUGUUUACACUGUGAUUUGUGUGACAACGUAGUGAUAAUCACAUCUGCUUAUAAAGAAGAGAAUUUUUAGCUGUCAUUAAACAGAAUUAAUAAGUUAAUGCUUGCACGUUAUUAAUAACUUAAUAGUCAAUAAUAUCUCUUAGCUCUUGUUGUCAAAUUGAAAUUAAUUAAUUUUGUUUUAAAAAGAUUAUCUAGAUGCAAUAUCGUAUAUGUAUCUGAAUUUUUAAUCUAAAAUAUUCGAUCUUUGAUUAGACGAUCAAUUUUAUUGUAAAAUUUCAAGAUUUUUAGCUUUUAUGAAAUUAUAGUUUUGUGUAUUGAGUUAGAUUUUAAUCAAUAUUAUUAUGUAUUAAGCGGUUAGGUUACCAAAAUGAAUUGCUAGUCUAUCAAUUAUUUUGAUAUGUUGUUUUAUUAUCAAAAAAACUUUUUGAUUUUUUAUCCACCGAUAAUGUUGACUUAUUUAAUCAAUGAAAAUAAAUGUUAUUACAAACAGUCCGCGGUAUGAUUGACUACGAUGUUCAUGUGAUUCAUAGUGUUUAUUAUUAUUGAUGCAACACACAUCAUCCCAUAUCCGUGACGUUCAUAUUAUUAUUAUUAUUAUUAUUAUUAUUAUUAUUAUUUUACUUUAUUCUCAAUUAAUAUCAAAUAAAUGUACUUUUCAAUGUUAAUCAAAAUCUUUUACUUUUUGUGGGUGUCACUAUUUUGCACUGUGAGCACAAUUUAUCACGUUACGACUCUAAUUAAGGAAAUAGUUUUGACCUAGCUCGAAUUUAUUACGUGCACAUUAAAACUUAUCAAAGCAUAUCUUAAAACAAAUAUUUUGGAUGCGCCAUCCCAUCAUCCUCUCUAUUCUUCAACAAAACUAAAACAGUGUUAACGAGUUGUUUCUUAUAGUAAACUUUUUUUUUUUAUAAUUGAUCUUUGUAUUUGUGUUUGGUUUAAUGAAACUCUACUUACCAAAAAUAAAUAAAAAAUCAAAUAUAAAAGGAUACCUAACUACUGCCUACCAGCUACCAUACAAUGAUACAAUAAAUUUUCCUUCUUCUUCUUCCUCUCUCUCUCUCUCUCUCUCUCUCUCUCUUACAGCAGAAUAUUUAUAAUAAGUAUCAUUUGAUCUUAUAUUUAAAAAUUAAUUUCUUUAUGCAUUGAAGAGACUCGAACUCAUUUUGGGAGUGAGGCACUAAUUAGCUAAUGGAUGUCUAGAUGUUCGCUUGAUCUUUGUUAGAUAACAAAUUUCAAUGAUAUUCAACAUUUUAACGUUUUGUACUUGUCAUUAGUUAUUUGUUUGGGUGCUAUUAUCACGUGCAAGUAUGCAACAAGCAAAGCAAUCAUAAUAAGACAUGUUUUAGGAUUCAGCAAAAGGACAAUUACACAUAGUACAAUAAUUUCAUAAAUAUAUAUAAGUACAUGCUAAAAAUUAUUUAUUGGUUUUGGCCUUUGGGUUCAAUAAUGAGCUGUCACAUGAGAGUGGAAGAUUGUAGCAAAGCAAACAAGUAAUAAAAAAACAGCAAAUCCAUAAUUUGACAUCAAUGAUAUGAAUAGAAAAAAGCCUUCCAAUAAAGCUGGGUGGGGGUAACAUGGAUAGCAAAACAAGAGUACAUUUAUAUGCAACACCUUUUUAAUUAGUUCCUCAUAUAAUUGAAGACAGAGAUAAGAUUCUUAACCAAAACUGUGAAAGACAACAAAACCAAAAUAUUUUCCACUUUUGGAAUCAAAUCUUAAACUCAAAUUUUCACAGCAUGGAAGUGUCCUUUUUCUUCUUGGUAGAGACUCAGGCUGCUAAUGAGAUUGGUUUCUUCUUCCCCACCACCACCAGCACCACCCAUCUUGUAUUGUUGCCCAUGUGAAAGUAUUGAAGAAUUUCCACUAUGCAUUUAGCUUUAUUUAGGUGCAGUUUGGUUUAACAUCAUUGAUUAUUGAUUCCAAAAGAUAAUUUGUUUUGUGAAGAGGUGACAAAUAGGAUCUAUUUAGUUUGCGGUUCAAAAACAAAUUAAGGAAAUCUAGAUAAAACAAAACAGAGCUCCUAUAUCCCAACAAUAAUUUGGGCUUAUGGUCUCUUCAUUUGGGCUUAAACUAUAUUGCAUUUGAUGAAGUAAAAGAGAGCCAGCCCACCUAAAUUUGUUGGCUUGAUUGUGAAUCCCCUAACAUCUUCAUUGCAAUUCGUUUUCUGAAUUUGGGUGCAUUUCAAAAUAAGAGAGGGUGAAUCUUUAGACCAUUUUUGGUAUGUCCAGCAUUCUUCUCUCUCUCUCUUUGAAUUGUCAAAACUGGAAUUGCUUAAUUUUCAAUUAAUUCACUUCAACUAAAUAAACAUGCUAUCAAUUUGAUUAUUCAAAUUGUGUAAAUGCCCUAAAUUAGAUUAAUAAAUUGGAAGUGGAUUAGAGAAUUUCCACGACAUUUUAAAACAGUUGUAUAAUAAACGAAUUUAUCCUUUUUUAAAAAAUAAAAUUAAUCUUUUCUAAUGUCUAUUAGAAACUAAAACCCCUUCAAAUCCAUAUGAAAAAAGAAGUCUAUUACUUUGAGUUGUUGAGAGAUUCACACAUCUUUAUUCUUACCCAUGCAUGCUUACAUAUAGAGAUGGCAAUUUUUUUUGUUGGGAUGGGAUUCUAUAGGAUCCUGACCCAUUUGGAACGAGUUUAGAACAUAUUUUUGUCUCAAAAAAAUAAAUGGAUGAGAAUGAGACAUUUUUUCAUCUCAUUUGCAUUUACGGGACAAUAUUAGAAUUGACAAAUCCCAUCUCCUCCCGUUCCAUUGCCAACCCUAGCUGUUGGUUUGGUUUAUUAUUAUAUUAUUGAAUUAUUGGAUAUUUUAACAUGACUGAAGUUGAUUAAUGUCCAAAUUUAUAGUUUUUAAAAUAUAAGUCUUAAUAUUAACGUGCAAUAAAAGCAGAGAGACAAAUAAAAAAUCUAACAUAAAAUUAUAUUCGAACAUACAUAUAGUCAAAAUAAAACUAAUAUUUAAUUAUUUUACUUUAUAUUUAUUCAAGAUUCUUGCUAUAUUAAAAAAUGAUGAUUCUUAAAAGAAAAAAAAUCAAAAUUUAUUUAUUUGUAUUUGAGAUUAUUCAGAACUAAUAUUUAAUUAUUUUACUUUAUAUUUAUUCAAGAUUCUUGCUAUAUUAAAAAUGAUGAUUCUUAAAAGAAAAAAAUCAAAAUUUAUUUAUUUAUAUUUGAGAUUAUUCAGAAUAAUGGCUUGUGAUGAGAUAUUUAACGGGAUAAAAUUAGGAAAAAUUUGUGUCUCCAAAAAAAUAAAAGGAUGGACCGAAAUAUUUUUUUAUCCCAUUUGCAUAAAGAAAACAGAACUAAAAUUGAUAAAUACCGUCUCAUCCCGUCCCAUUACCAACCCAAUUUAUAUAGCACGUCAAUAGGCUAAAACCUUACUUUGAUUUUGCCCAUCCUAUUACAUCUUUUAAUUGAAGAAUUUUAGGAAAAUUUAUUCUGUUUGUAUUUUAUAUUUAUGUUUUUCAGCUUUGCUAUAUUUUAUUUAAGGAACACCAAUUCAAUUAAAAUAUACCACCCCCAAAAGAAACAAAAUAAUUAUUAAACUGCCAAAUGCCCAAAUUUCAUUUUUUUUUUCAUUGGCAGAGCUUAAACUUUGCCUACUUGCAUUUUCACUCUCAAUUGUGCUACCGAAACAAGCCUCCACUCUUCCCCUCAUAUACCCAAAACACCCUCCAGCUGGAAACGUGUCACGACCACAAGACGCGUGGCCCUCUCUCAAAGAACAAAGCCAGUCCCCAAAAAACCGAUCAAAGCCCCCGUUCUUCUUCUUCGCGGACCAAACCCUGACCCGACACCAAUCCCGUCUCUGUCUAAAACUCUCUUCAAAGCUUGAAAAUUUAUGCCUUGAAUUCAAAACCCUCAAUUGGUUCGUUUUUGUUUUGAUGGUUUUCGGCCAAUUUACAGGUACAUUUUUUUUUUUUUUUUGGUUUUAGCUCAUUUAAUUUUGUUUGGAAACUUUCUACCUUAAUUAGUUUACUAUAUAUAUAUUUUUUGAAUUAUGCUUAUUUGGGAUCAAUCAUGUCAGGCUGUCAAUAAUCGAAUUGUGUUAACAUGAGGACAAAGGUUUUAGUCAAAGAGUUAAUAGUGGCACUGACAAUCGUGUCGUUAGUUAAUUUUAAUAUGAAAAGUUUGUAAUUUUCACUAUUUUUGGGGCAAAACUUGAAGUGGGUAAAGGAUAAAAGGAAGUAAGACUUGAGUAUAGAAUUGAAGUUUCAAAGUGAGGCUAGCGGUAUGGAAAUCUGAACACUACGUGGUUGAAGUGUUGGAUAUGGUCAACAGAAUCACUAUCGAAGUGAUGGAACUUAGUAAAUGGUCAGGAAUUGAAAGUCGAAUUGCCUGGUAGAUGUUAUGAGAGCUGAUAACAGGUUAAUUCUAAAAUCUCCAAAAACAAGGAUUGUAUUUGUUUUGUGGUACGCUGAAUUGAAAUGUAGUUUUGAAAAGGAGCAAUCGGUGAUAAUGCUUACUUCAUGUUAGUUUACUGCUAGCGGGAUGGUUGCUAUUUAAUAUGAAUGUGUUAUUGUCUUGGAAACGCGAAUGAUAACGUAGUUUGGAGGUCGAUGGUUGUUGCUAGAAUAUAGCCAUUGGGAUAAAGAAGCAUUUUUUUAAUCCAUUGCUUAAACUUUUAUCCCCGAAACCAUUUAAAAGAUUCUUUGCUGUCCAUGUGAUCAAUAUUUCUUUUGUCUAGUAGUUUUAGCUAAAAGUUUUCGGUUUUCUGUAUAACAAUUGAUUAGUGGGACUAUUGUAUUGUAUUCAAUUGAUUAACAUGUUCAGGUGGUGAAUCCUUACCAUUAACCGCAUUCCUAUUUUUGUUAAUUUUAAGAUAUUUGUAGAUUUUGUGGUACAAAUGUCUGUUUAAAAUCAGAAAAUUUGAAUUCUUUUUUGUUGAUUUUGAUUAGUAGUUACAAUUAUUUCUUUCUUUUAGGUACCUUCAUGGGAUCCCUUUGUAGAAAGAAUAAAAUCAUCCCCACAGGAGACUCUGAAGAACUAUCUAUGUGAUGUCACAUGAAAGACAUAAGACCAAUGUGAGCAAAACUUGGAAAAGUGCAUUUUGAUUAAAACUAGAUUCGACUAUACCCACUGUAAGGAUGGAUUCCUAUGACAUCACUAGCAACACCAUUUUGGAGCCUCGUGAUGAUAUGGAAUUCGAGUCUCAUGAGGCUGCUUAUUCAUUUUAUAAAGAAUAUGCUAAAUCUAUGGGAUUUGGUACUGCUAAAUUGAGCAGUCGCCGGUCUAGGGCAUCAAAGGAAUUCAUUGAUGCAAAAUUUUCAUGCAUAAGAUAUGGGAACAAGCAACAAUCUGAUGAUGCCAUAAAUCCACGGCCAUCUCCAAAAAUUGGAUGUAAGGCAAGCAUGCAUGUGAAGAGAAGGCAAAAUGGAAAGUGGUUUAUUUACAGCUUUGUAAAGGAGCACAAUCACGAGCUUUUACCUGCUCAGGUACAUUUCUUUCGUAGUCACCGAAAUGUUGAUCCACUGAAGAAUGAUGUUAGGAUAAGGAGGAGGAAGAACCUAGCUGCAGUAUCUAAACUCUUCAAUGCUUAUCAAAAUGUUGAUUGUUUGGAGACUUAUAUGAGAAAUCAGCAUGAUAAAGGGCGAAGCUUGGUUUUAGACCCUGCAGAUUCUCAAGUAUUGCUAGAAUAUUUUAUGCAGAUGCAAGAAGAAAAUCCAAAAUUCUUCUAUGCAUUUGAUUUGAAUGAAGAGCAUCGGUUGAGAAAUGUGUUUUGGGUGGAUGCCAAAGGCAUGGAAGAUUACACCAACUUCGGUGAUGUAGUUUCCUUUGACUCGACGUAUUUCACAAACAAGUACAAAAUUUCAUUGGUUCUUUUUGUUGGAGUUAACCAUCAUAUUCAGCCCACAUUGCUUGGUUGUGCAUUAAUUGCAGAUGAAACAGUUUAUACUUUUGUUUGGUUACUGCAAACAUGGUUUUUAGCAAUGGGAGAGCGAGCUCCACAAGUGAUACUCACUGAUCAAAAUAGUGCCAUUAAAGCAGCUGUUGCAGCAGUUUUUCCAGAGACGCGCCAUUGUUUCAGUUUGUGGAAUGUAUUGGAAAUGAUUCCUAGGCAUCUUGAGUAUCUAAGCCCGUGGCACGACAAUUUUAUGGAAAAAUUUUAUAAGUGUAUAUAUAGGUCAUGGACUGAGGAGCAAUUUGAAAAGAGGUGGUGGAAAUUAGUUGAAAAGUUUCAUCUUAGAGAGGUACAAUGGAUUCAAUUGUUGUACGAAGAUCGUAAACAUUGGGUUCCUACAUUCAUGAGAGGCAUAUCUUUUGCUGCAUUGUCUACGCCUUCACGUUCUGAGAGUUUAAACUCUUUGUUUGACAAAUAUGUGCGUGGAGAAACAUCAUUGAGAGAGUUUAUAGAGCAAUACCGAGUGAUUCUUGAAGACAGGUAUGAAGAGGAAGCCAAAGCAGAUUUUGAUGCAUGGCAUGAAACACCAGAGUUGAAAUCUCCAUCACCGUUUGAAAAGCAAAUGUCACUAGUGUACACACAUGAAAUUUUCAAGAAGUUCCAAGUUGAGGUUUUGGGAGCCGCUGCUUGUCAUCUUAAAAAGGAAAAUGAAUUUGAAACGACUACAACGUACGAAGUUAAAGACUUUGAAGAUAAUCAGAAUUUUAUGGUGGAAUGGAAUGAGUCAAAAUUGGACAUAUAUUGUUCAUGUCGUUCAUUUGAGUAUAAAGGUUAUCUCUGUAGACAUGCUAUCAUUGUUCUGCAGAUGUCUGGUGUUUUCAGCAUCCCAUCUAAAUACAUAUUGCAAAGAUGGACAAAUGCUGCUAAGAGCAGGCAUGUCAUUAGUGAAAGACUAGAUGAGAUGCAGUCUAAGGUACGUCGGUACAAUGAUCUAUGCCGGCGUGCCAUUAUAUUGGGUGAAGAAGGGUCUAUCUCACAAGAGAGUUAUAGCAUGGCACUGUCUGCUAUCCAAGAAGCUUUGAAGCAAUGUGCAAGUCUGAAUAUUUCUGUCGAAAG